This 253-nucleotide ribosomal RNA is filed under the name uncultured bacterium. Its description in RNAcentral is "partial 16S ribosomal RNA". It matches the Rfam family "Bacterial small subunit ribosomal RNA", at positions 524 to 776 of the family's 1533-position model. The record is from RNAcentral.
GACGUAGGUGGCGAACGUUAUCCGGAAUUAUUGGGCGUAAAGGGUGCGCAGAUGGUCUGACAAGUUACCGGUGGUAAAUCGAGGCUCAACCUCGUGGAAACUGGUAAUACUGUCAGGCUCGAGUGCAGGAGAGGUUAACGGAACUCCCGGUGGAGCGGUAAAAUGCGUAGAUAUCAGGAGGAACACCUGCGGUGUAGACGGCUUACUGGACCAUAACUGACGCUGAGGCACGAAAGCGUGGGUAGCAAACAGG